Molecule: RNA transcript, 2577 nt
Organism: Abrus precatorius (Indian licorice)
Lineage: Eukaryota; Viridiplantae; Streptophyta; Magnoliopsida; Fabales; Fabaceae
Gene name: protein PTST homolog 3, chloroplastic
Exons: 14
Source: RefSeq, a predicted model, not a curated record
GUGAAUGAAUUAAGAGAAAGGAGGGUGUGAUCCUCUUCUUCUUCGUUGAGGCCACAGAGAAAGGAAAGAGUGUAAAUGAGCACCGUGUGGGUGUGUUACUUCCCGAGCUGCACCACUCUCGCUUGUAGCGCGUGCAAGCUCUCUCCAACGCACCUUCUUCAUCCCUCAUCCAUAUCCACCCAAUUCCAACUACGCGCUUCACAGACCAGCACCACAAGGACCAGAACAAGGAGAAGCCGAAGGACCAAAAGCGACGCCGAGAUCUGUAACGAUAUUCGGGAAUUUCUCACUUCGGUUGGCCUCCCCGAAGACCACAUUCCCUCUACAAAGGAGCUUUUGCUUCAUGGAUGGAAUGACUUGGCAAACAUUGUGAGACGGAGAGGGCAUAAACAGAUUCAUGAGCUUCUAACAGCAAGUUCGUUACGUGUUGACAUUGAUUCUUUAACAGGUCAGAAUGAGAAGGUGGAUAGUUUGGUCAAUCAUGCUGAAGCGGUCAAUAAUGAUUUUGAUAGUUCGAGGGAAGGUCUUUAUCCCAAUUUUGAUGGCCGUAGUUCAAUGCCUACUGAAAUUUCUGGUGAAUCAUCAUUUGAGGCAAUGUGUGCUGUGAAUUCGGAGUUUGAGGAUAGUUUAGCGGGUAAAGUGGUUGGAAAGAAUGAGAUAACCUUGCCAUUGGCAGUUCCUUCUGUGGAAAACUGUUCCAGUGCUUCAUCUAAUGAUUCUGAUAUUGAUAGUGGAGAUGAAGAUUUGGAACCGUUAAUUGAUUUGUCCUUGGAGCAAAAGGACUUGCCUGCAUUGGAAGGUUUAGAUGACGGCAAUGAGAAUGUUGUGGAAGAUGUUCCGGUGACCUCUGAAGCUUUUGUUAGGGAAAAUUUUGCUGGGGAAUACAGAAUUGAUUCAGUUGUUCAUUCUGCUGACAGCAGUUCUAUGAAUCUUGACACUUCGGCCAACUUGUCUUUGAAGGACAAGGUUGCAAAUUUUAUUCAGAAUGGAGAUUUAGACCCAGUUGAAGAUCAUGUCUCUGGCAUUUCAAAUGGGGAUGAUGGUCAGGAAAGUGAAGAGUAUAUUGAAUCAGAACCUGCUGUCAAUAUGCCCCAAGGUGCCCAUCCAUCUGAAGAUAAUAAUUUCAUUGCCCUUCAUGGGAACUCAUUGACAUACAAGGAUGAUCACAUGCAACGUGAGGAUCUAACGACUCAUUUUGACAAGGAUAUGGUUGCUGAGGCUCCAAAAGUGCAAAACGAAAGUGAGAUAAAUCAUCUUAAAUUCAUGCUGUAUCAGAAGGAGUUGGAACUGUCCCGGCUGAAGGAACAGAUUGAGAAGGAAAAGCUUGCUUUGUCUGUCUUACAAACCAAGGCAGAGGCAGAAAUCAGCAAAGCCAGAAAACUUAUAUAUGAAAAAGAUGCAGAGUUACACAUUGCUGAAGAAAGUCUUUCAGGACUCAAGGAGGUUGAGAUUGAGUUCUGUGGUGAUGGUGAUGUUGUGGAGGUGGCUGGUAGCUUCAAUGGUUGGCAUCACCAAAUAAAAAUGGAUCCUCAACUGUCAACUAGUGCUAUAGAAGUUGGAGAAUCAAGGAGAUCCAGAUCUUGGUCAACGAUGCUGUGGCUUUAUCCUGGUGUAUAUGAGAUAAAAUUUGUUGUUGAUGGCCAAUGGAGCACAGAUCCUCAAAGGGAGACAGUAACAAGGGGUCACAUUUGUAACAACAUUCUAAGAGUAGAUAGAUGAUGCAUUCUGGCUCAGGUCACAAUUGCUAGAUGUAUAUAAAAAUAUAUUCGUUUGGCAUAGACACCCUGAAAGAGAAGUAAUAGAUGUGAUGAGUGAUGUGACCAGAAGAGAGAUAGAGAAGUGGGGGUGGGGUGGUCAAAUGGGCCGUGACGCUGUUGAGGGUACAUAAAAAUUGUAGAAAAUGGUUUCUGUGGAUUUCUAAAUGAUAACGUUUGACAGCAAUAUGGACAAGAGGGUAGAAACAAGCACACGACACAACAAUGAGCAGAAUCUAAACGAGUAUCAUUUACCACUGUCCUGUAUGUACAUGUAUGUACGUUUGCGUCUUGGACUAAUAUUGAGAUCAUGACAUCAUCUGGGACUCGCGGUAGUUAGUUAGAUAUUAGGAAGUAAAGAUGGGUUUGUAGGGAGGGAUUUGGCUAGUUUGCAAGAGGUGGUGGUAGCUUCAAACCAUUCUAUCAUUGUAUCAAUCAGGAGAGAAUAGUAGCCCCCUUCGUUUUUGUAUUCCUCACUUCUUAUUUCUGCUAUUCUUUUGGUGGUUUUUAUUGUCAAAGCCACACACAAGAACCAGGAUAAAAGUUCGUUUCCCAAGCUUCUGUAAAUUUAACACGCGAUAUUCGAUUACUGCAUUUUCAAUUUAGCACUAACGAAGUGAUGAAUUCAGGCAAAAUUAUUAUUUGAAAGAAGUUAAGAAGGGAUAGCUUAAUCUGUAUGGACUGAUAUGACUCAAGCUCAUGAGUGGGAACGACAAUUGGCACAUUGAACCUCGUUUGCUCAAUUAUGGACGUUAUAAUUACGGCCAGAUUUUUCUUCUGGUUCUGAAAACCUUUUUUUUUUAAAAGGGCAAAGAACCUGAAU